AACGAACGCUGGCGGCAGGCCUAACACAUGCAAGUCGAGCGCACCCUUCGGGGUGAGCGGCGGACGGGUGAAUAACGCGUGGGAACGUGCCCUUCUCUGCGGAAUAGCCUCGGGAAACUGAGAGUAAUACCGCAUACGCCCUUUGGGGGAAAGAUUUAUCGGAGAAGGAUCGGCCCGCGUUGGAUUAGGUAGUUGGUGGGGUAAUGGCCCACCAAGCCGACGAUCCAUAGCUGGUUUGAGAGGAUGAUCAGCCACACUGGGACUGAGACACGGCCCAGACUCCUACGGGAGGCAGCAGUGGGGAAUCUUAGACAAUGGGGGCAACCCUGAUCUAGCCAUGCCGCGUGAGUGAUGAAGGCCUUAGGGUUGUAAAGCUCUUUCAGCUGGGAAGAUAAUGACGGUACCAGCAGAAGAAGCCCCGGCUAACUCCGUG
Molecule: ribosomal RNA, 433 nt
Filed under: uncultured bacterium
Lineage: Bacteria
Description: partial 16S ribosomal RNA
Rfam family: Bacterial small subunit ribosomal RNA
Source: RNAcentral